GAUGAUGUAGUUUAAUGGUGGAACGUGGGAAUCAUAAUCCUGAAGAUGUAGGUUCGAGUCCUACCAUCAUUA
RNAcentral lists this transfer RNA (72 nucleotides) under Phytopythium vexans. RNAcentral's name for it is "tRNA-Met". It matches the Rfam family "tRNA". Rfam says of the family: Transfer RNA (tRNA) molecules are approximately 80 nucleotides in length. Their secondary structure includes four short double-helical elements and three loops (D, anti-codon, and T loops). Lineage: Eukaryota; Oomycota; Peronosporomycetes; Pythiales; Pythiaceae. The record is from RNAcentral.